UAGGGAAUCUUCCACAAUGGGCGAAAGCCUGAUGGAGCAACGCCGCGUGAGUGAAGAAGGGUUUCGGCUCGUAAAGCUCUGUUGUUAAAGAAGAACACGUAUGAGAGUAACUGUUCAUACGUUGACGGUAUUUAACCAGAAAGUCACGGCUAACUACGUGCCGG
This 164-nucleotide ribosomal RNA is filed under the name uncultured bacterium. RNAcentral describes it as "partial 16S ribosomal RNA". It matches the Rfam family "Bacterial small subunit ribosomal RNA", at positions 355 to 511 of the family's 1533-position model. The record is from RNAcentral.